Molecule: ribosomal RNA, 876 nt
Filed under: uncultured Bacteroidota bacterium
Lineage: Bacteria; Pseudomonadati; Bacteroidota
Description: bacterial SSU rRNA
Rfam family: Bacterial small subunit ribosomal RNA
Source: RNAcentral
AGGGUUUGAUCAUGGCUCAGGAUGAACGCUAGCGGCAGGCUUAACACAUGCAAGUCGAGGGGUAACAGGGAUUGCUUGCAAUCCGCUGACGACCGGCGCACGGGUGCGUAACGCGUAUGCAACCUACCUUCUACAGGGGGAUAGUCAAUAGAAAUGUUGAAUAAUACCCCAUACGAUCUUUGAAUAGCAUUAUUUAAAGAAGAAAGUUCCGGCGGUAGAAGAUGGGCAUGCGUCCUAUUAGUUAGUUGGAGAGGUAACGGCUCCCCAAGACAUCGAUAGGUAGGGGUCCUGAGAGGGAGACCCCCCACACUGGUACUGAGACACGGACCAGACUCCUACGGGAGGCAGCAGUGAGGAAUAUUGGACAAUGGAGGCAACUCUGAUCCAGCCAUGCCGCGUGCAGGAAGACUGCCCUAUGGGUUGUAAACUGCUUUUAUACAGGAAGAAAUGUAUCUACGUGUAGGUAUUUGACGGUACUGUACGAACAAGGAUCGGCUAACUCCGUGCCAGCAGCCGCGGUAAUACGGAGGAUCCAAGCGUUAUCCGGAAUCAUUGGGUUUAAAGGGUCCGUAGGCGGUCUUUUAAGUCAGAGGUGAAAUCCUACAGCUCAACUGUAGAAUUGCCUUUGAUACUGAAAGACUUGAGUUAUUGUGAAGUAGUUAGAAUGUGUGGUGUAGCGGUGAAAUGCAUAGAGAUCACACAGAAUACCGAUUGCGAAGGCAGAUUACUAACAAUAUACUGACGCUGAGGGACGAAAGCGUGGGUAGCGAACAGGAUUAGAUACCCUGGUAGUCCACGCCGUAAACGAUGGAUACUAGCUGUUCGACCAACAUUGGUUGGUUGAGUGGCUAAGCGAAAGUGAUAAGUAUCCCACCU